Non-coding RNA from Pelobates cultripes (western spadefoot toad), 206 nucleotides. Lineage: Eukaryota; Metazoa; Chordata; Amphibia; Anura; Pelobatidae. The record is from the annotation of a GenBank genome assembly.
AUUCCCUCAGGGUAGCUUGGGCUUCCUGCAUCUUUAACAGUUUAAUUCAGUAAAGAAAAUGAUUAGAGGUCUCAGGGCUGAAAUUAUCUCAAACCAUUCCCAUAGUUUAAUUGGGUAAGAAUCCUGGCUUGCUGGCUUGGCUCAUCGAGCAUAGGAUACGAGUGACUACACUUUUGGUAAGCAGAACUGGUGCCAGUGGGGAACUA